UACAGAGGUCUCAAGCGUUGUUCGGAUUCAUUGGGCGUAAAGGGUGCGUAGGUGGCGUGGUAAGUCGGGUGUGAAAUUUCGGAGCUUAACUCCGAAACUGCAUUCGAUACUGCCGUGCUUGAGGACUGGAGAGGAGACUGGAAUUUACGGUGUAGCAGUGAAAUGCGUAGAGAUCGUAAGGAAGACCAGUGGCGAAGGCGGGUCUCUGGACAGUUCCUGACACUGAGGCACGAAGGCCAGGGGAGCAAACAGG
This 253-nucleotide ribosomal RNA is filed under the name uncultured bacterium. Its description in RNAcentral is "partial 16S ribosomal RNA". It matches the Rfam family "Bacterial small subunit ribosomal RNA", at positions 524 to 776 of the family's 1533-position model. The record is from RNAcentral.